RNAcentral lists this ribosomal RNA (490 nucleotides) under uncultured bacterium. Its description in RNAcentral is "partial 16S ribosomal RNA". It matches the Rfam family "Bacterial small subunit ribosomal RNA", at positions 30 to 507 of the family's 1533-position model. The record is from RNAcentral.
AUUGAACGCUGGCGGCAUGCUUUACACAUGCAAGUCGGACGGCAGCACAGAGAAGCUUGCUACUUGGGUGGCGAGUGGCGAACGGGUGAGUAAUAUAUCGGAACGUGCCGAGUAAUGGGGGAUAACUAAUCGAAAGAUUAGCUAAUACCGCAUAUUCUCUGAGGAGGAAAGCAGGGGACCUUAGGGCCUUGCGUUAUUCGAGCGGCCGAUAUCUGAUUAGCUAGUUGGUGGGGUAAAGGCCCACCAAGGCGACGAUCAGUAGCUGGUCUGAGAGGAUGAUCCGCCACACUGGGACUGAGACACGGCCCAGACUCCUACGGGAGGCAGCAGUGGGGAAUUUUGGACAAUGGGCGCAAGCCUGAUCCAGCCAUGCCGCGUGUCUGAAGAAGGCCUUCGGGUUGUAAAGGACUUUUGUCAGGGAAGAAAAGGCUGUUGCUAAUACCGACAGCUGAUGACGGUACCUGAAGAAUAAGCACCGGCUAACUACGUG